GUGCUCACUUCAGCAGCACACAUACUAAAAUUGGAAUGAUACAGAGAAGAUUAGCAUGGCCCCUGCUCAAAGAUGACAUGCAAAUUCAUGAAAAGUUCCUUAUUAAA
Molecule: small nuclear RNA, 107 nt
Filed under: Neotoma lepida (desert woodrat)
Lineage: Eukaryota; Metazoa; Chordata; Mammalia; Rodentia; Cricetidae
Source: RNAcentral